Molecule: long non-coding RNA, 1237 nt
Organism: Rhododendron vialii
Lineage: Eukaryota; Viridiplantae; Streptophyta; Magnoliopsida; Ericales; Ericaceae
Exons: 3
Source: RefSeq, a predicted model, not a curated record
CUACGACUAUGAGAGAGAGAAUAGAAGAAGAAGAGGAAGAGAAAGAGGAGGAGGGGGACACCACAGCUACCCCAAACCACCGCCGACCACCACCGCUGAAGAAACCAAUGAAGAAGACGCCUCCACGAUCGCCGACCACCACCACCAACGUACGCCUACGAGCUUCGAACCACAAUCACUGAUAUCGAUUUCGAACGCUCAAGAAGGUCUCAACCACUACCGCCGCUGCCAUACGCCAACGAAGAGGAACUAAAUGGUGGGCAGUAUCUGUUUGCACUCCGUAUGCUGAUCAUACUUUUUCGGAGAGAGUUGUCAAUUGUAGAUGCGCUGUACCUUUGGUAGGUGAUGUGGGCAAUGGAAUAUAAUCCAAACAUCUCUUCAUUAUAUGAGGUUUCAAGGUCUAGAUCAGAUGUGGCACCAAAUGAAAAUGCUGUAUCCAGAAUGGAUAUUAAGCAGCUGAAGCAAUAUGGGAAAUAUGAGAGAAAACUUAUAAAGACUGGACACGGGGACUAAAAGAGCGCCCUCAUAGUUUUCCUCGUUGCAAGUGUCAUUGAGGCCAAGAAAAAACGACUUCUGAAAAAAGCUAAAGGUCCAGACGAUGUUGUCAAGGUUUACAUUCCGCUUCCCUCUUGUUUCUCGUCUUCACCUUUGCGAUUAGAUGUGUCUGAAAUAUAACUUAUUUGAACCUACUUUUACAAAUUGUGGGGGAAAUAAUAACGGCUAGUCUGGAUGUGAAAAGGGCAUUGAGAGACGCAUUGAAGAUCCAGGAAAAGUACCUACAGAAGGCAAGCUCAUCUUUUUGUUUCUCUUUCGUUAAAUCCUCAUUCCAUCCUCACAUGCAUGCAUAUGACUUGGGUUUCCACACAUGGCUUGCUGCUUAUAGUGCUUACCUAUGCAUGCAAGCCAAGCAAUUGUAGCUAUGCAAGAGGGAGGGAGAGCACAAAGCAGUUCCACAACUCCAAAAUCCAGUUCCGCUUGGUGUUUGGAGCGUCCAGCCAAGAAGAGAUGCUAGCUACACUUAGGAUUUAUCUUUUUCAUUUUACUUGUAAUAUAGCUUAGGGUAGACGACGACGAUGAUGUUCAGCUCAUGGCCUUUGCUCUAAUUUGACAAUGUUUCAUGGCUUGUUUAAAAAGAUACAAGUUUGUACUCCAUUUUUGUUGCUGUAUUGGUUUUAGAGUGGUACAUUUUGAGAUAAUGAGUGGUACAUUAUGAAAUUCAAAUAUCACUAUGGUGUCA